UACGGAGGGUGCGAGCGUUGUCCGGAAUCACUGGGCGUAAAGGGCGCGUAGGCGGCCGGAUAAGUAGGGGGUGAAAUCCUGCGGCUUAACCGCAGGGCUGCCUUCUAAACUGUCAGGCUUGAGCACAGUAGAGGCAGGUGGAAUUCCCGGUGUAGCGGUGGAAUGCGUAGAGAUCGGGAAGAACAUCAGUGGCGAAGGCGGCCUGCUGGGCUGUUGCUGACGCUGAGGCGCGACAGCGUGGGGAGCAAACAGG
RNAcentral lists this ribosomal RNA (253 nucleotides) under uncultured bacterium. RNAcentral describes it as "partial 16S ribosomal RNA". It matches the Rfam family "Bacterial small subunit ribosomal RNA", at positions 524 to 776 of the family's 1533-position model. The record is from RNAcentral.